CAACCGGGAUGCCUUAGUAACGGCGAGUGAAGCGGCAAAAGCUCAAAUUUGAAAUCUGGCGUCUUCGACGUCCGAGUUGUAAUUUGAAGAAGGCAACUUUGUAGCUGGUCCUUGUCUAUGUUCCUUGGAACAGGACGUCAUAGAGGGUGAGAAUCCCGUGUGGCGAGGAUCCCAGUUAUUUGUAAAGUGCUUUCGACGAGUCGAGUUGUUUGGGAAUGCAGCUCUAAGUGGGUGGUAAAUUCCAUCUAAAGCUAAAUAUUGGCGAGAGACCGAUAGCGAACAAGUACAGUGAUGGAAAGAUGAAAAGAACUUUGAAAAGAGAGUGAAAAAGUACGUGAAAUUGUUGAAAGGGAAGGGCAUUUGAUCAGACAUGGCGUUUGCUUCGGCUUUCGCUGGGCCAGCAUCAGUUUUAGCGGUUGGAUAAAUCCUCGGGAAUGUGGCUCUGCUUCGGUAGAGUGUUAUAGCCCGUGGGAAUACAGCCAGCUGGGACUGAGGAUUGCGACUUUUGUCAAGGAUGCUGGCGUAAUGGUUAAAUGCCGCCCGUCUUGAAACACGGACCAAGGAGUCUAACGUCUAUGCGAGUGUUUGGGUGUAAAACCCGUACGCGUAAUGAAAGUGAA
This 620-nucleotide ribosomal RNA is filed under the name Kluyveromyces lactis. RNAcentral describes it as "LSU rRNA". It matches the Rfam family "Eukaryotic large subunit ribosomal RNA", at positions 66 to 729 of the family's 3401-position model. Lineage: Eukaryota; Fungi; Ascomycota; Saccharomycetes; Saccharomycetales; Saccharomycetaceae. The record is from RNAcentral.